UCAGAGCUACUAUUGUUGUGAGUUAGAUC
Molecule: small RNA, 29 nt
Filed under: Bombyx mori (domestic silkworm)
Lineage: Eukaryota; Metazoa; Arthropoda; Insecta; Lepidoptera; Bombycidae
Description: ovarian small RNA-25610
Source: RNAcentral